AUGGAAGGAUGUAUUCAAAAUGAUUUAAUUCAAAGUGCAACAAGUGACAUUAACUAGCUUCUAGAAGUCAAAUUCCACAGCUGUGGAACAGUCAAAGGACAAACUAUGUGCUAUCUGACCAAGGGACCUUUCACUGUGUGUGCUCCGGAGAGAGAUCAUCGAGGCAGACAGAGGAGGUCAUUAUGCUGGGGGGGUUUCAUCCCUGGAUUAGCGGAGAAAGACUGAGAGAAAAUCAUUGUCAUUACACUCCUACCAGGUUUCUUCUGUUUACUCUCCUCUUGUCUUACACCACUCACUUCAACGCUGAAAGAUAAACCAGUCCAGCGGUAGCCUAUGUUUGUAUUCCCAGAGGCAUCAUGUCUGACAUACUAAGAAGUCCUUCAGACCUGAGAGAGCGGCAGUGUCUCUAUGUGUGUGUAGUUGUGUGUGCAUGUCAACAAAGUGGAAGUGAAGCUGAGGGAUGUUCAAGACUCAGUUGUUGUUUCAUAUGUGACUUUCAAUUGACAUCCAUACACAGUGUGCAUGUCUCAUGUAUAUAGAAGUUUGUGUCUAAAUACACAUGUAUGCAUGUACUGAACAUA
Molecule: long non-coding RNA, 581 nt
Organism: Micropterus dolomieu (smallmouth bass)
Lineage: Eukaryota; Metazoa; Chordata; Actinopteri; Centrarchiformes; Centrarchidae
Exons: 2
Source: RefSeq, a predicted model, not a curated record